Non-coding RNA from Anolis sagrei ordinatus, 1156 nucleotides. The record is from RefSeq and is a predicted model, not a curated record. Lineage: Eukaryota; Metazoa; Chordata; Lepidosauria; Squamata; Anolidae.
CCAGCAAUUAGGAGCCCGGGUCUCCUCCUCCUCUUCCUCCCCGACGACGCCACGGAAGAGCGAGCGCCCUGCUCGGACCCAAUGGACGGCCGACUGGGAGUGUCUCGAUGGAGGAGAAGCUGAUCCUGAUCUCCGUCCAGGACCCGGGAAGGACAGCAAAGAAUCUGAUAGUUCAAUAAAAACAAAGGAGACAUCCAGCUUCCCGAAGACGCUUGGCAUGACGGUGUGUAAGAGAGAAACUACAACUUCACACCAAGGAGAGACUGAGGCUGUCGAGGAGAAAAGUAGUCCGCCGGGUCGUGCCGAAGCUUCGGUACUUUCACUCCCUUUCUAUGGCGAAGAACAAAAACAAACGCGUUUUUAACUACACCGUUCCAGACCGGCGGCUUAAUCCAGCCUCUAGCCUUGCCUGUUGGCUGCUUUGAGCUUGGCUGCAUCGCCUGGUGGCGUCUUGCCCUUUCCAGGCUCCACCAGCCGCUGAAGGAGACAAACUCUCCUUUCCUCUCUGGGCUAUUCCAAAUGAUUUUCCCCAAACGUGAGAGCAUGUAUCGAUUCAUGAAUCGCGGAGAGGUCGCGUUGAAUUGAUCCUUCGGAACUCCUUUACGAAACAAAACACGCUGAGCUGCGUGGAAUGGCCUUCCCAAGCCUUUCUCUCUCAAACCAGCUCAUUAUGAUAAUUACCUUCGGGAUAUUAGUGGAGCAAUAUUUAGAAGAGGGAGGAAGUGGCCGUAUUUUCUCUUUUAUUUUGAAACUUAUCUUGUAUUUUCCAAAACUCCAUGAGGCAAGCAUUUUCAAAAUCUGUAAUUACAGAGUAGAUCCAUUUCAUUCCAAUGUCUUUUUUUCCUUCUCCUUUUUGAAUUUUUAAGCAGUGUUUUAGGACUCUGUUGCUAAACCUGCUCUGGACUCCAGCCUUGAGGCAGAGGACAUGGAGCCAAGGAAAGGGCGUCCCCAAACAUGUGCAGAUGGCUUUCUCCCCACCACCAACCGAGUUUCCAAGGCAGAGCUGCCUGAUCUUAUCGGAGGUCUGACAUCUCUCAGCCCGGUUUUCUAUCUGUCCCCAAAACCGAGAUGAUUCCGUAGUUGGAGCCACUCUUCCCUUUGCAGCCUUCAAUAAAGAAACCCAGGACAGUUUAAUAAAAGACUAAAACCCUAGAAA